Molecule: long non-coding RNA, 35357 nt
Filed under: Triticum aestivum (bread wheat)
Lineage: Eukaryota; Viridiplantae; Streptophyta; Magnoliopsida; Poales; Poaceae
Description: long non-coding RNA (TAES_LNC009886)
Rfam family: MIR1120/MIR1122 microRNA precursor family (bases 1753-1887)
Source: RNAcentral
CUCAGUUCAGGUCUCCAAAUUGCUUCCGCACCACAUCAUGAGAUAGCACAUCAGAAGAAUGAAAGUAAUUAGUUUGAUCAUCAUCAGACAGUUUUCAACAUCAGAAAACAUCAGAUAAACAACAAAAACCAUUGUUUUGGGGCGGGAAGAAGAUAGAAUGAAGUGUUUCCUCAGUUCACAUCUCCAAAUUGCUUCCACACUGUGCCAGGAUAAAAAAAUUAUCACGGUUUUUCUCUUAGAAUAUUUCUGAGGGCACCCUCAGAACAUUUGCAUAAUUGUAUCACAGUAUUUUUCUUAGAAUAUUUGUGCAGACAUCAGGAUGCACAAACAGGAACAGAAUGGCAACUAGAAAACAAAUAAAUAACAAUAUGAGGUAUGUCAUUGCUUCUGAUCACUCUUAGGUGAUAAUAUAUAUCUCAUCAACACAUGAAUCAGACAACAAUAUUUUACCAAGUGAUCACCACUCACCAGGAUCCAAGAACAACAAUCUGCGGUCCAGAAACAGGAAAGAAGAAUCAAACCACAGAAUCCCCAUUUCAGGUCGCCAACUUUUAAUACCAUUGUGAUUGAUGGUUGAGCUGUCAGACAAUGCUUUCUAGGCAAAUGCAUCUCAAUCAAGCAAAAGAAUAGUCAAGCAGAAGUGAAGAAAGAGGAUAAAGGAAUAAUAGAAGAUCAAAUCAGUAGCCCUCAGGUAUUAUGCUUAUGUUUUUCAUCAACGGAGAAAACUCAGGUCUCAAAGAUGUGCCAUCACUGGACCCGGCUCCUCUACCGUGCCCAGCAGCACGGUACUCUGCCGUGCCUUCUUCCUACCCAGGGGUACGCGCUGGUAUGGGCCAGAAUAUCCCCUAAAAAAGGAAGAUAUGGGUCAAAGUCCAACCAGCCUAGCAAACCUGAUACAUCAUCACACACCGCUAAAAAAAACCUAAUGCAUCACACCCCUGCAUAUUAACUAAUUAACUAUUACUUUUCUAAUUCGCAAAAAAAUAUAUUACUUUUCUGAAAAAGUAAUUAACUAUUAUUAUUUUCCCUAAAAAAUAUUAUUAUCUAAAAAACACCAAUUUUGUAUCUCGGUCAUAUAUUAUGCAGAGCGAAUUUUGUAUUUUAUAUUUUCCUUUUUAUAACUUAUUAUUGUUUUAUCGGUUGGAUUGGUCCUUUUAUUUUUAUUUUUUGUGCCUUUUGUUUCUCCUCGCAACGUUCCUUGCUUGCGCAGCGGCCUACCAAAAAAUAGACCGCUACUAGUUGUUUGGGCUAAAUUUAUUGAAUAAUCCUAUUUGAUAACCUCAUAUAAUUCGUAAAAAGCCCGGAUAAUCUACAUCCAUCGGAUAUUAUCGAUACCGUAUCCACUACCAUAUCCGUCGAAUAUCCGGUUGACCAAAAUCCAUAUCCGGGGGAUUCAUGUGGCCACAGUUACAUGUCCAUGGAUUGCACGUAAUUACAGUUCCACGUUAGUCGGGCGGGCAUAAAUGUGUUCACAUGUUUCUCAUAGGUGCUCAUAAGGGCAGUGACGGGCAUGCAUCUGGUGUGCAACUGUAGUGUCACGUGGGCGACGAAUAUGCAACUCUAGUUACACAAGUAGCACGCAAAAAAGACAAAAAAAACAUACUAAUCAAACUGAUUAAACAAUAACAAAUCAAAAAUAGGAGAAAGAAAAAUAUUAAGUAUUAAAAAUCGCUCCGCAUAGAAUAUGACUCAGAUUUAGCAAAACCAUUUUUCUAAUACGAGUUCAUUUUCAUUUAAGAAUGUUGCUCAUGUGUAUUGCUACCUCCGUUCCAAUUUUUUUGUCUUAGAUUUGUCUAAAUACGGAUAUAUCAAAUCAUGUUCUAGUAUUAGAUAUAUCCAUAUCUAGACAAAUCUAAGACAAGAAUUUUGGGACAGAGGGAGUAAAAGUUAACAUUUUAUACAAUAAUAAGUAGGUAAUUACUCUCGUUAAUCUGUGCAUAGAUGAACGGCUGGGCUGGUUAGUUCUAAUUUAUGAUCCAUAGGCCCAAUACCAAUGGGUACGCUGGGUAAGAAGGCACGGCAGAGUACCGUGCCGCUGGGCACGGUAGAGGAUCCUCACUGGACUCACAGAACUGAACUGAAUAGAAAAGGACAAAUUAACAUCAGGCAAUUUUGGAGAACAUUAUUCACUGGGGACGCAACUCAAGAUCACCAUAAAGUCUAGUCCUUCUGACAAAUUCAAGCCCCGGAGAAAUAAAACAGAGGGAUAAACUAAUCAAGGAGCUGAGUCAUAGAUUCAGAACAAAAAGCAAGUGCUCUUCGACAUGUUGGUACAUACAGAGAAGAGCAUUAAUUGUGGAAACCACCAAUGAGUAUGGAAGAAUACACAUGAAUUAACAUUCAAAAGCUAAAUCUGUCCUUAGAAUUACGGAAUGACAGCACGGACGCAUAGCAACAAAUCAGUCCCGAAAGAUGGUAUGAUUAAGAUGGUUUUCAUCAUGAACAGGACUGCAUAAUGAAGACAAAAAUGGACUGCAUAAUGAAGACAAAAAUUUAAAAUUCUAGAGGAAAUCUGGUAGGUGGACACCAGAAUUGCCGAUUUUUACAGCAUGGCACACAAAGCGCACCAAUCAGUCCCAAAAGAUGGUUUGUUUUGUUUGUUAUUUUUCACCAUUGUCCAACCAAAUUCUCAAACAGAAUAAACAACAGUAUCAAGGACAAAAAGAAAGACGGAAGAGAUAUCAAAGGAUUAUAGAAGUAUCUACAAAAAUUAUGACAAUCAAAUAAUGUUUAAUUUGUCCUCAGAAUUGCAGAAUGACAGCAUGGACACAUAGCGACCAAUCAGUCCCAAAAGAUGGUAUGAUUAACAGGUUUUUCGUCACAGGACAAACAUAAACACAAACACAAAACAUCCAGGUCUACAAAGGUCAGAAUUGCAGAUUUAACAGCAUGGCACACAGAGCGCACCAAUCAGUCUCAAGAAGGUAAAUAUAAUCAAUAUCAAGGAAAAACAUAGUGAAAAAGCUUAAAGACCCAAAGGAGAAGGCACACAAUAACCAAAGAGGAUGAGAAAAGAGACUAAACAAUGAGCUCAUGUAUGCCCCAAGACAUCCAAGGAAGGAUCUGAUAGCAUUAGCUCUCAAAAAUGGCUGGGCAAAAGCUCUUAAAACGUAACUGCGAAUGUUUUGAGAAAAAGGCCUUAAUUUUAAUCAUCCCUACUAAAGCAAGUAUUGCAUCAGACAUAAAUUUUCCAGCACUGCAUCCAAGGAAGGAUCAAACAGCACAAGCUCUUAGGCGGCAACUGCAAAUGUUUUGAGAAACAAACCUUGCUUUCAACAUCAUUUGCAAUGCAGGGCCAUAUUGAACAUAUUAUGUUUAGAUUGCUGAAGGUCAUUGAGAAACAUAAUAUUGACCAGGAGAAAUAACAAGGCUCAGACAUCCAAGGAAGGAAUCAGCAGCAUCAGCUCUCAAGCCUGGCAAGGCAAAAGCUCUUAGGCUGCAACUGCGAAUGUUUUGAGAAACAAGCCUUAAAUUUAUCAUGAUUGCCCUAAAUUUCCUAGUAGCAAAACUUCUACAAAUAUAUCAGACAAUAAUGAAGUACCAAGUUCCUAUCAAUGAAUGAAAACUAAUUCUUGGCCCAAUUAAAGAUACCAUCCUUUUAGAGAAGUUGCUCUAAAACAGAGUAUACGCCUGUGCCUGUGAGCCCAGUUGGGCUUUCCCUGGCUGAAGGCUGAAAUUCACUUGGGCUAGGAGUACCGAGGGCAUUGGAGAACUGAAGGCACCUAGACUGAUCACCCCCUCAAAGAAAAACCUAGACUGACCGAAAGACUAGGUCAAAGGUGCUCAUCAGUCUCCUCUCACAAUUCAAUGUGUUUGUACAGCAAAUAAUGCAUAGCAUCACCGGCCAAAAUCUUCUAGAAAAAGAACAGUGCACCGAGAUAAACCACAUACAUACUAAUCAUCAACAUAUGCAGCACCCCUCCAAGGAAGUAAGACAGAGAUAACUGUAUUUUUUAAGUGAUUUCAUCAUCCACAUACAUAAUAAUCAGUUUGAGUUGAAAAAUAAUUAUAAAGUACAAUUUGCAGAACCUAUCAGAUCUUCCCAUAUCGAUAACUGAAAUGGUAACCAAGAAUUAGAUCCAAAAGGCAGAAAAAAAUAACAGAGUACCGCUUGUGAAUAUAUGCAUCACAAGCAUCAUGUCGGACGACGAAGCCAAUCCCAUGGGAUCAUCCAGCUGAUCCUUAGAACUCCACUAAUGCAAGAAUAAUUGUAAUUUCUGAGUUCAUUUAUGUUCUACUGUUCUCCCUAGAGCCAGUGAUGCUAUCAAAACCAUUCUCGUAUUUCUUCAACCGAAUCUGAAGCACAAAUACUGAUAUUGUCCCACAGCAUGUCUGACAUGGGGAAGGUCAAUCCAAGGCAAGCUCCAACCAUUGCAUGGGGCGGCAAGAGGUGACUGAGUUAGCAUCGUUUCGGGGCAGCACGCCUACCACUUGAAUCUUGUUCAGACUUCGUGCACAUAUGAAGACUUCUCAAGUGGAGUUAAUCAUUAAAAAAGUACAAAAGAUGAUUUCAAGCGCCUCAGAGAUCUUGGUGGUUGUGAUCAUCAAAUGGGGUCGUUGCCCCAUCAAGAGUAGCCAGGGAGAACAGUAGAACACAAACAAACACAACUAAAACAAAUAAGGCUGGUCAUAGUGGGGAGUAACUUAGACUAGUAACAUACAUAUGUCACUAGUCACUAGUAACAUACAUAUGUUACUAGUCUAUGUUACUACCUUCAUAGUGGGUAGUGUCAUAGGUGUGGUAACAUAGUUGCCUUCAUUUAUUACUUUGUAGACUCAUUAUGCAUUGGAAACCGCUAUGUGAUGGUAACAUAUUAUGUUACUCUAUUUGCUUCUCUCCUCAUUAACUACUUGCCACAUCAUCAUUUUUGCUUAUGUGGCAUCUAUGUUACUACCUAUGUUACUCCCACUAUGACCAGCCUAAGAAAAGAUUGGACGACAAGUCAGAAGAAACAGAAUCUCACAAUGUAUACAGAAUACAGUUUCUAUAACCAAAAGGCACACAAUGCUGGAGUAAUCCUGUCAGACUUAAAGUAUUUUCAGCACCCUUCCCGGGAAGGAAGACAGGGAUACCUCUAUUUUUACUUGUAAUCUCAUCAUCCACAUCCAUAUUAAUUAGUUCGAAAAAAACAAUAAAAAUCAAAUGCUCAUACAAUCUAUCAUGGCCAGCUAAUUUAGAGGACGACAUGUGAAUUUAUGUGGCGUUUCCAGGAUAAGCUGGCACAGAGGAUGCCACCAAUCAGGAUAUACCACACAUCAGAGAAUCAUGUGUAGCGUCCGAGACUAAUCGCCAUGAGGAACACAAAUCAUCCUCAGGAAUUGGUAAUGAACGCACACCAAAAAAGGUUGUUUUGGGAGGGAAGAUAUAAUGAGUAUUUCCUCAGUUCAGGUCUCCAAAUUGAUUCCGCACCGCAACACAAACUAGCGCAUCAGAAGAAUGAAAGUAUUUAGAAUAAAUCAUCGGACAGUUUUCAACAUCAAAAAACAUGAGAUAAACAACAAAACCAAUUGUUUCAGUGCGGGAACAAGAACAAAAGUAUUUAGUUUGAUCAGCUUCGACAUCAUGUACAGUCAUCAGGAGCCCAAAACAAGGACAAAAUAACCAAAAAUAAACACAAACGAACAAUAUCAGCUACAUCGUUGCUUCUGAGCCAUCUAGGUGAUAAUAUAUAUCUCAUCAACACAUGAACCAACAAAGGUGAUCACAAGGAUGCAUGAACCAACAAUCUGCGAUGAACAAACAGACUACGAAAGAAAAAUUAAACUGCGGUAUCCUCAGCUCUUACAUACUCGAGAUUUGCAGUAGUUAAGUACCUGAUUGAUUGUUAAACUGUAAGAAGCAAAUGCACCUCCAUCAAGCAAAAAAAUAAUCAAUCGAGAGUGAAAAAAGAGGAUCAAGGAAUAACAGAAGGUUGAAUCAGUAGCCCUCAGGGAUUAUGCUUAUGAUUUUCAUCAAGGAAGAAAACUCAGGUCUCAAAGAUGUGCCAUCACUGGACUCAAGACCUUAACUGAAAAGGGCAAACUAAAAAUCAUAAAACAUACAAUGAUAAGCAGGAGCAAUUUUGGAGAAUGUUAUUCGCUGCACCUCACAAUUAUAAAUAGGGGAAGCGACUCAAGAUCCCAAUAAAGUCGGCCCUGGGAAAAAUCGAGACCCAUAAAUAUAUAAAACAGAAGGAUCAACUAGUCAAAGGGCACUUCAACAUAAUGUGUCCUCAGAAUUGCAGAAUGACAGCAUGGCCGCCUAGCAACCAAUCAGUCCCGAAAGAUGGUAUGAUUUAACAGGUUUUUCAUCACAGGACAACCAUAAACACACAAAACAAGGUCCACAUAGGUCGAACCUACAUUAUUUUAGGGUUGGACGUCAGAACUGCAUGUUUGAAAACAUGAAACAAAAGACAACAUAGCACAAGAGCGCACCAAUCAGACUCAAUAAUAAUAAUGACGGAAAUGUUGAUGUGGCAAGCUGCAUUUAUAUUCAUAAACAAAAAUGCUAAAAAUCUGACAUCAGAUUCUUUUAGGCAUGACAAAUCAACCAUGUUGCGAAAUUUAGUUGGCAAGCACUUUUUCUGUCAAAAUCUGACAUUUGAUGCAUUUAGGUCCUAUCCAAGAUAAAAUGAAUAAGUUCAGGCGCUUAGUUGUUAACCUUCAACUAAACUCCAGGCAUCUUAUCUUGGGAUUGAAACCGAUACUAUCUGUGCUGCUUUCAGAUUAAGCUUUUCUUUGCCUUUUUAUUUUCUCCACACACCAUGUUGUUUUGCUGUCAAAGCAAAGCUGUAAAAAGACAGCAGCAUUCUCGUAUUUCUUCAAACUGCAUCUGAAGCAGAAACAGUAACAUAUUUUCCAACCGUUGAGUGAGCCAGCACAGGACAACUGAGAGGGCAUCGUUUAGCGGCAGGGCAGCACACAGCAACUGAAGACUUUACAUGUGGGAACUGUACAGAGAACCAUCAAAAAAAUAAGAAAUGAUUUCCAGGGCCUCAGAGAUCUUGGUGGUUGUGAUCGUCAAAUGAGGUCGUUGCCCCAUCAAGAGUAGCAAAUAUUUUGAAAACAUCACUGGCUCCAAGGAGAACGCGAACAAACAUAGCUAAAACAAAUAAGAAAUAAACGACUGAAGCCACCUAAAGGCAGAUUGUAAGACGAGUCAGAAGUAGCUGGUUAAAGAUCUCAUGUUUAUUACAAAUCAAUGGGAAUCCGAAUGAUUUUCCUCUUCAUCCUCACCAUCCAAGCCAAAUCAAAAGAAAGACAGUUUUCAAACAUCAAAACAAACAGAAUCUCACAAUGAAUACAAAUUACAGUUUUAUAAACUAUCAUACGACACAAGAUGGUGGAAGUAACUGUGUCAGAUUGAAAGUAUUCUCAGCACCCUUCCGAGGAAGUAAGACAGGGAUAACUGUAUUUUUACUUGUGAUCUCAUCAUCCACAUCGAUAUUAACCAGUUCGAAAAAACAAUAAUAAUCAAGUGCUCAAACAAUCUUCAGGGUCGGCACAUUUAGACCCAGAAAGACAAAGAAAAAAAGAAAAAAGGGCACGGCAUGUGAAUGUAUGUGGCGUUUCCAGGAUAAGCUGGCACAGAGGACGCCACCAAUCAGGAUAUACCACACAUCAGAGAAUCGCAUGUAGCGUCCGAGACUAAUCGCCAUGAGGAACACAAAUAAUCCUCAGGAAUUGGUAAUGAACGCGCAUCAAUCAAAAGAAAGAGCUAGAAAAAAAGAUGGAUUCAAUGGGAUGAGAUCUGGGAGCUCAGACAGCCAAGGGGUUGUCUGCAGAUGCCGCUGAAGAGGCGGCAUCAGAAACUCUAGUCCACAAAUUUGUCAUCACCGCUACGACCUCUCAUCGACCAACCAUCGAAAAGAAGAACAUGAAACGAAACCGAAUCGAAAACCAGAGCGAUGCGCAGGGGAGGAGGGCGGAGCCGCGAGGGGAGGAGGGAGCUAUCGGGGUCUGGAGUCUGGAUGCGGCGUUGGUGGGCAUUUAUAUUGAGGUCUGGGCUAUGGUGUCUAGGGUUCGGCUGCAAAUGAGGCGAGCCGACGCAUCGGCCUGCUGGGCUGCCACACAAAGGGCUAACGCGGGUUUUGGUGGGCCGGCCGAACGGUAGACCCGUUUCUCUCCCUCUGCUCAAGCCAACUUCUUAAGGGCGGCAGCAACAGCUGUCCAAUCGGGUCUUCCCCACUCGGGCUAGCCACGAAGUUUUCCCUCUCGCUAGGGUUUCCUGUUCCUCUCGCCGCCUCUGGCGACGUUGAGAAAAACUCCUUCCCUUGUCGCCGUUCGUCGGGUCUUCCCCAUUCGGGCUGAUUCAGGGGCAGCCUGGUGCUGCCGCCCGGCCUUGGUGGGGGUCUGAGGGACGCGACGUUAGGGUUUUUCUGCUACUAGGGUUCUACAGCGGGGGCAACAAGAUCGAUCUGUGAGGUCUCACCAAUGGCGCAGAGAUCGGGUUCGGCUGCGGAUGGAAGCAAGGGUGGCAACCUUGAUAGGCUGAUGCAGGAGCUCGCCCUGAAGGAGGAUGACCUUGAUGAUGUAGUCUUUGAGGAAGACGACGCACCUCUGGAAGAAAACCUCCGGUGGAUGAUCUUGGCCCGUGUCCAUAUGGACAAGUCUUUCAGUACAUAUUGGUUCUUUCGUAACAUGAAGUCAGCCUGGGAUCUAGCAAGGGGAGUCAAGAUCAAAACCCUAAAAGACAAUCUGUUUAUCAUGCAAUUCAAUUGUCUAGGGGACUGGGAGAGGGUAACCCAGGGAGGACCGUGGCACUUUCGGGGGAAUCCGGUGAUCAUUGUCUCGUAUGAUGGCUACUCCAAGCCCACAUCCAUAGAGCUCUUUAAAUUUGAGAUAUGGGCAAGAAUCAUUGAUCUCCCAAUUGCAUACCAUGGAAAAGUGAAGGCGCUGACUGCUAAGAUCGGGGAGUUUGUUGACUCAGAACCAUCUUCCUUCGACUUUGAAGGGAAUUUUUACAGGGUGAGAAUCCGUCUCGAUGUUCGCAACCAACUAAAGAAGGCAACCUCCAUAGUUCGUGGGGGACAGAGGGAGAUCUUUGCGGUGAAAUACGAAAGGCUCCCGGACUGGUGUCAGGUAUGCGGCAUGAUGGGACAUGAGUUUAAAGAACACGGAGACGGUGUGCAUCCCCCCUCGGCCUUAGUAUUCAAGAACCUAAGGGCGCCGGCAACGACUGCAUGGGGAACGAGACGCCGUAACAAUGGCAAGAAACAGUCAAACCAAGGUGGAGGAGGAGAAAGCUCGGAUCUGGAAAAGGAUAGGAGUGCAAUGGAGGGGGAGGAUUUGGACAUGGAGAAAUCUGACCAGAAUCGGAAGCGCUCCUCUGAUGAAGCUGCGGCUGCUGCCAUGACAAUGGCAUCCAAGGGAAGCCUGGAGCUUGUGCCAUUAGCAAACCAGAAAGGAGGAGCGGGUGUGGCCCCAAUGAGCCCGCCACCAAAGCAAGAUCCCAAGCGAUCUAGAGUGAUGCGGCAGUCAGAGAAGGGGGCAAACACAGGGUUGAGGAAGAACCAGGUGGCACCCAAAAACCAAGAUGCAACAUCGGCGGCCUCCUUGUCGGAGGACCGCCGAGCACAAUGAAUCUGUUAAGCUGGAACUGCCGGGGAUUAGGCAACGCCCUGACAGUUCAAGAAUUGCGCGAACUCACGUUAAACUUUGCCCCUAGAGUACUUUGUAUUUUGGAAACACAAAUUAGCCAAGAGAGAGCUGAAAGUUUAGCAAGUACUCUAGGAUAUGAUUGUUCUUUUGCUGUUGGAUCCACCGGUCGGAGCGGUGGCUUAGUUUUGUACUGGAACAAUGAAAUAAAUUGUGAAAUUUUGGGUUACUCGCAGUAUCACAUAUAUGUCAAGGUGACGGGUCUGGGAGGGACCCCGUGGAGGCUCUCGUGUUUCUAUGGAGAAGCCCAGACACACCUAAGACACAGAACUUGGGACACAAUGAAGAACCUGGCGUCGCUACAAUAUAUGUCGUGGGCAUGUUUAGGCGACUUCAACGAGGUCCUUCGAUAUAAUGAGCAUGAUGGUGUUGGUCAGAGAAGCUAAACGCAAAUACAAGGCUUCCGAGAUGCAGUAGAUGUUUGCGGCCUGAUUGAUCUUGGCUUCCAAGGUCAGAAGUGGACGUUUGAAACAAAAGUUACAGGAGGUACGUACACGAGGGUGAGGCUUGACAGAGCGCUCGGAUCUGCCGAGUGGUGUGCACAAUUCCCGUUGGCAGUGGUAGAACAUCUUACUGCUGCAACAUCGGAUCACUCUCCUAUUAUGCUGAAGCUUGACCCUUCUGCUAGAGGGCCGGUGAAAGAGAGACUGUUCCGGUAUGAAUGCAUGUGGGACACGCAUCCCGAUUUGAUCUCCACCGUCCAGAAUGCAUGGGAGGCCAACGGCCCUAACCUGACAGCGGCUGAGGUGCGAGUGAACCUAGAAGCGCUGUCUAACAACUUAGGUGAGUGGAGCAAAUCUACCUUUGGCAAUGUCAAGGCUGAGAUCAGGAAACUAAAGAAGGACCUACAAAGACUAAGGAGUGAUCCUCUACGGGUUGGCCCGAGCCAUGUUGAGAUCAAGGUUAAUGAUCGUCUUAUUGAGCUAUAUCUGUGUGAGGAAGUUAUGUGGCGUCAGCGGUCAAGGGUGGAAUGGCUCUCUGCUGGUGACCGGAAUACGCAUUUCUUCCAUCUUCGGGCCUCUAUGAGACGAUGGAAAAACCUGAUUAAAGCCCUCCAGAAACAUGAUGGACAAUUAACAGAGGAACUUACGGAGAUGUAGCAACUUGCGCAAGAGUUUUAUAAAAAUCUUUACACCUCUGAGGGAGUGGAAGGAGUAGAUGAUGUUCUCCAACAUGUACCCUCGAAGGUAACAGCCGCUAUGAAUGAGUCACUCAUGGCACCAUACAAGGAGGAAGAAGUAAAGAAGGCGAUGUUCCAAAUGUUCCCUUCAAAAGCGCCCGGCCCCAAUGCGUUUCCGGCACACUUUUUUUAGCGCCACUGGGAUGUAUGCGGAGCCUCGGUCACGAGGGCGGUUUUGAGCAUUGUCAGGGGUGAGGAGAGCCCGGCCUGUGUCAAUGACACAGUGUUGGUUUUAAUUCCAAAGGUAUCGAAUCCCACUUUGUUAUCUCAAUUCCGGCCAAUAAGUCUAUGCAAUGUCUUUUAUAAAAUAGCUUCGAAGGUACUAGCCAACCGUUUGAAGUCAAUACUCCCAGACAUUAUAUCAGAAGAGCAGUCCGCUUUUGUUCCAGGAAGGCUUAUCACUGACAACAUAAUUUCAGCUUAUGAGUGUUUGCGUUUCAUGAAGAGAAACCGGUUAAGAAACAACAACCACUGUGCGCUUAAGCUCGAUAUGAUGAAGGCGUAUGAUAUGGUGGAAUGGAAUUAUUUGGAAGCAAUCAUGAGGAAGUUGGGGUUUGCUGCACCAUGGGUAUCCAUUGUCAUGAACAUGGUCAGGACCGUCUCUUUCUCUAUCUUGUUUAAUGGGAGCAAAUUGGAAGAGUUCAAGCCAACACGAGGUAUCCGUCAGGAAGAUCCAAUCUCUCCAUAUCUUUUCUUGCUAGCAGCAGAGGGCCUUUCGUGCCUCUUAAAAUCUCAUAGUGAAUCAUCCCAGCUCAGCGGCAUUAAGGUGGCGCCAUCGGCACCGUCGGUGAACCAUCUUUUAUUCGCGGAUGAUAGCCUGUUGUUUCUCAAGGCGAGUGUAGAUGGGGCAGAUGAGGUGUCACACCUUUUGGAUACAUAUUGCAGGGCCUCGGGCCAACGCAUUAACAGGGAUAAGUCUUCUAUUUUCUUUAGUAAGGGAUGCCCUCAGAUUGUGAGAGAUGCAGUCAAGGGGCGUCUACAUGUUCCAAACGAGUCUCUAAGUGACAGAUACCUGGGCAUGCCCACAGAUGUGGGACACUUGAAGAGAGGCACGUUUAAAUACUUGAGCGACCGCGUCUGGGACAAGGUGAAAGGCUGGAUGGGGAAGUGUUUAUCAGCUGGGGGCAAGGAGGUACUUAUCAAGUCAGUGGCCCAGGCUAUCCCUGUUUACUCAAUGUCAUGCUUUAAGCUGCCAAGAGGACUGUGUGAUCACAUUAAUUCUAUCAUUAGAAAAUUUUGGUGGGGCUGCAAGCAAGGACAGAGGAAGCCAUCCUGGGUUUCAUGGGAGGUCAUGACAAGGCCAAAGUACCUGGGAAGCCUAGGAUUCAGAGAUCUGAAACUUUUUAACCUCGCAUUGUUGGCGAGACAAGCCUGGAGGGUGCUGCAAGAUCCCUCGACCUUGAGUGCCAGAAUCCUGAAAGCAUCAUACUAUCCAACAACAGAUUUGCUUAGUGCUGAACUUGGCUCAAGGCCAUCACAGAUUUGGCGUGCGAUUUUGGAGGGACGAGAUAUUCUGAAACAGGGUAUAAUCCGAAGAAUAGGUAAUGGGCAGUCGACCAAUAUAUGGACACACAAUUGGCUACCGAAGGAAGGUUCGCUCCGACCUAUCACCUGUCUGAUUCCGGAUCCACCUCAACUUGUUUCGGACCUGCUUACUCCAGCAACGGCAUCAUGGAACGUUGACUUCGUUCGUUCUCUAUUUCUCCCAACCGAUGCGGAGGCGGUACUGAAAAUUCCUGUGUGCACAAGCAAUGUUGAUGAUUUUUGGUCAUGGCACCCUGAUUCUAAAGGAAGGUUCACCGCCAGUUCAGCGUACAAAUUCAUUAUCAAGACAAAGAUAACAAGAGAGAAUUGGCUUGAGGGUAGAGGCGGGUCAUCUAGCUCGGACCGAGAAGAGAAGGAUUGGUGCAAACUUUGGUCGUUGACCGUCCCAUCAAAGAUCAGAGUGUUCUUGUGGCGUCUUGCACGCCACUCUUUGCCUACAACAGAUGUCCUCAACAAGAGAAAUAUGUCAACGCGAGAUGCGUGUCCACUUUGCGGCUCUCCUGACUCAUGGCGCCAUGCACUCGUCGCCUGCACAUCAGCGAGGUGCACGUGGGCACUAUCUAAUCCGGAGCCGGUGGCUAGGAUGGCAGAGAACACCGAACCCCGAGCGAAGAACUGGAUCUUCCAGCUUCAUGAGGUUCUUGAGCACAAGCUGUUCACAAAGAUGGUCGUAACUUUAUGGGCAGUAUGGUAUGCAAGGAGGCAGGCGAUACACGAAGGAAUAUUUCAAUCACCCAUGCAGACCCAUUCUUUUGUGGAGUCCUAUCUCCGCGAGCUGGAGCAAGUCAGGGAAAAAACAUCCCCUCGGGUUUCUGCUACACCUAUGAGGGAAGUUGAACAAAGAUGGAUAGCCUCACCACCGGGGUUGGUAAAGUUCAACGUCGAUGGAGCGGUGGCAAGGCGUAGCCGUGGUGGGGCGGUUGCCGCAGUAUGCCGAGACCACACGGGUCUAUACCUAGGAUCAUCGGUGGUGGUUUAUAAUGGAGUUUUUAAUCUGACUAUCUUGGAAACUUAUGCGUGCAGGGAAGCUAUGGCACUUGCUAGUGACCUGCAAGUGUCACAUAUGAUAAUAGCAUGGGAUUGCCAAGGGGUGGUCAAUGACAUCAACCAAGGAACAGGGGGACCGCACUCUGCGAUCAACCAGGAGAUUUUGGAGCGUAGAAAUAUGUUCACUUCUGUUUCUUUUGUUCAUGAGCGGAGAAAUUUUAAUUUCGAGGCUCACAAUCUUGCCAAAUUAGCUUGUAAUCUUCAGUCUGGUAGAUAUCUUUGGUUGGUCAACCCUUAUGAUCAACGUGUUGUACCAAUGAACAUUAUCGAUAAUCAAUAAAGUGGCGAGAUUCCUCAAAAAAAAGCCAACUUCUUAAUGUGUUUCUAAAAUAAAAAACUCCUUAAUGUUAACCCCAAAAAAACAAAUGAUAACCAUCACACAUAUCUGACAUUUUUUACAACUAAAAUUGUCAUACAAAAAAUCCUAAAAAAGACUAAAACUUGUCAUCCAAACAGAAAAUUAUCAUGCUUCACAACUAAAAUUGCCAUCAUUGGAUAAUAAACUUGCCAUAAAAAACGUCAGGGGGGAGUUGUUUCGUGCCACACGUGUGGCACUUUAUCAGGGUCCCUAAAAAAUCGACUCCCGGUUAUCCUACACUCUUUUUUCACGAGGUAGAACACUUGUAUUACUCAAUCACAAUAGAAUAAUAAUCAUCAUUGUUCAACUCAAUGGCAUCAGAGGACCAGACCCCAACCAUGUCCCAAGCUUUCCAAUGUACCUUAUGUCGUCCCUUGCUUGAACAAAAAUAAAAAAUUCUAACCAUCCUCGGAAGAUCAUCACACACCAAGUAGGGAAUUUUAAAUACACCCAUAAUAUACUUAGGUUGCGCUUGCAGAUCAGAUUAGAUGAGGACCUCCCUUCCCGAUCUAUAUUAUCCUAAGAUCUUGAAGAAAUAGCAUCUUUACACUUACAACGACAAAAGGUUCGCACAACAAAUAUCUCCGUGUAUGUCUGGAAAUCAAUAUGGAUGUCCAGACCCUGUUGUUGAUCAUUGACCGGAAGGUGUUUCUGAUCAUGUUUGCAUGUUACCGAACCUGCAAGGUCACACGCUUAACGGACAGUGGUUUGAUAAAGUACUAGGAUGUAUAAAGAGCAUGAGAGAAAUGCAUCGAAAAUGUUCUAGAUAAUACUGGAAGUGUCUCGGGAGGUUAUAGAAAUGUUCUUGUAAAACCGGGAAUGUCCCGGAGAUACCCUGGAAGGUUCUGAAACAUUCCAAAAGGUUCCAAAUGGCCAUACCCCCUUGGCUGGUCCAAGUGGUGCACUCUCUUCCAGACUUGGAGGACAAGCAAUGCGUGCGGCCUGGGUUUGGGAGGGUAUCCCUCCCUGGUCCAUGGGCCCUAAGAGGGCAACCCUCCUCCAAGGCUAUGCCCCCUUGGUCACUAUAAAUAAAGAGGAGAGGCAGCCCUCCAAACACAAAAGUUUUCAGGCUGGGCUCUCUCUCUCUCUCUCUCUCUCCACGCCGCCAGGUUGCUCCACCUCUAGCCCUCCGGUUGCUCUUCGUCCUAGACGACAAAGUGAUGCCGAACAUUGGCAUGGUAAGUGUGAAUACCGUAGAGGGAUUGUACGUUUGAUUCUUGACCGAGAAAAAUCUCAUGAUUGGGAGGUAUAACCUAACUGCGGGAAUAUGUAAAUAUUCACCAACAUCUACUUCUCUGUUGUGUUCUUGUUGGCAAGAUUGAUCUAUCUCUUGCAUCUUCAUAGUGAUCCUCGGUGUGUAUGUAUAGUAAAAAAAUUGUUUUAUACUAUGUUCCCGAACACAAAUUCCACAUGUAUAUUACUUCGUAAUUAAAAUUGCAACAAAACUAAAAAAAGUGCUAGGUUGGUACUAUUUUUUUAAGGAGGAUAAGCCCCCGACCAGGUUGUUACAAUGAAACAUCGGCAAUUUAAUGUGUACCGCUGAGAAGAUCACAUAUGUUGGUUGAGGAGUCGCCUUUUACUAAAUAUGAAAUUGACAUUGUAUUUAAGGAACUCCCUCUUCACAAAGCCCUUGGUCCAGAUGGAUUUAACAUAAACUUUGUCAAGCACAACUAGGAUAUUAUUGCUCAUGACUUCUAUGCUCUAAUUGAAGACUAUUUUCAUGGCAGAAUCAAUCUACAAAGUAUCAAUUCCUCCUACAUUACACUCAUCCCCAAGAUGGACUCCCUAUUUUGCAAUGAUCCCAUGCCUAUUUCUGUGUUAAACUUCUCAAUCAGGAUAAUCACCAAGCUUCUGGCAAAUAGGUUACAAAAGGUUAUUCUAACCAUUGUGCACACCAAUGACCAAUCAAUAUCGCAUUGUGAAAAAUAGAUCCAUGCAGGAUUUCUUGGCCUCGACUUAUGAAUACACAUAUCAAUACCAUUUCUUUGGAAAGGAGUUUCUUAUUUUUGAAACUUGACUUUGAGAAGGCCUUUUACUUGAUUGAGCACCAAACUACCAAGGAGACUUAAAUUCUAGAGGGUUUGGACCUAGAUGGAUCAUGUGGAUGGACAUGAUCUUCUUACUUGGGCCUUCCGCUGAGUCUGACCAAACCAAAAAAUGGAAGAUUUUAUCUCUGUUCUGAAAAGAAUUGGCAAAAGGUUGGCUAGCUACUACACUCUGCUAUCAUAUGGAGACAAUAUGAUCCUUAUCAAAUAUGUGUUUUCUAGUCUACCAAAAAAAUUCAUGAGCACUUUGGCUCUGCCUGCUGGUGUCUUGGAGCAAAUAAACAAAUAUUUAAGGCAUUGUUUUUGGAGAAAGUAUGGAAUGGAGGACAAAGGCUCUACUCUCAUUACCUUAGACAAAGUUUGCCUCCCCAAAGAUCAAGGAGGGCUAGUAGUUUUAGAUGUUGCAACUCACAAUAAGUGUCUCCUAAUGAAACAUCUACGCAAAAAUUUCAAUUGUGACAAUCUACCUUGGGUGAAGUUUAUAUGGAAUUUAUACUAAACUGAAGGACUUGUCACUGACAAACCAAUGAGAUCGUUAUGGUGGAAGAGCAUCGACAGGUUAAUACAUGAAUUCAAACAGGUGGCUAAAGGAAUCAUAGGGAAGGGUAAUACCAUCUUAUUCUGGAAGGAUUAUUGGGCAGAGGGAAAAUCAAAGAGCUUUUUAAUCUACCUAAUUAUACAUGUUAUUCAAACAUGUAACUUUGCAUGUAGAUAUAACAUACAAAAACAUUUGACAUAAAAAAUAGUUUUUUAAUCUAUCUGACUUCACUAUUCAUCUAGGAGCAUAUUAGUUUGUGAGGCAAAAAGCAGCCCCUAAACAAAAGGCAGACAUGUGAGGUCAAUGAUGGUUUCGGUCGAGGUUUCAUUUCCAUUCUUAUGAUGGUAUUGGCCACAUUAGGAGACCAAGAGCGUCUUGAGAUUGAAUUGAGUGCAAGAUAAUUUUAGCACCUUGUUGGAUGCAUGCUCGAGUGCUUGGCGAGAGCAUAUGAGAUGCCAAGAGGGUGAAGAGUGACAUCACCAUCUUGAGUUGCAUUCUAUUGAGUAUGAAGAAGAUAGAGAGGAGUAGAGGUUAGGAGGUGAACUUGUGGCAUCGGAAGACGAGGGAGACGACAAGACGAUGCUAACCAUUUGAUAUUCAGCCACAAUCCCUCAAUAUCGCCCCUUAUUGUUAAUUUGACCCCGUGUCGCCUCCAUGGCAAUAUCUUGUUGAGGUUGCGCCUAGCAAACUUCCUCAACUGCGGUAUCCCGUUGAGGGUGCAGUUGGCAUCACACCGUCGGAUGGCCUCCUCGACGACAACUUGGAUCAUGGCAGCCUAUUUUGCAGCGCACCACGCACGCCCAACUUGACAGUCUGCUCCAUGGCAGCACCUCGGCAACGCGGGUCGGCAGUGGGGGCAUGGAGACAGUUACCACAAGGUUAUCCGAAUGCACCGGUUCUCGAACAACACCUUCAAAAAUAUUGGCAAGGUUACCCAUUGACCUGUUCGUUCAUAAAACAUAGUCUUUUGAUCAUUUUAGAAGAUGUGUGACCUACUCACCUCACAAGAGUUGUGUGACUAUAAAUCAUACACAUUGAAGGUUGUCAUCAUUUGUGAAGACCUUUACGUAGAAAAACAUCAUGUGAAAUUGAUUUGAGGUUAAUGUUUUCAACAACUACGCCCUGCAAGACCAAACAAUUUAUAUAGCAUCGCCAUCUUAUAGAGGGAAGCGCAUUCUUUCCAUCCUCCGCGAGUCAUUCAACACCUUUCGCUCAUAUAUAAAUUGUCGGCAGAUGCAGCACAAGAAAAAAAAAGGCAUAUCCCUAAACGGGUGUGUUCUCUCGGUGCUUCAGAUUUUGGAGUGGUCGGAGGUUCAACAUCUCAUCCUCCAGUUCUUGGCAAAAUCAUCCGAGAAAAUGGAAAAGGAAGCUAAAGAUCAGCUUGAGAAUAGUAGGCGUCGGGAAGAGAAUACUUGGUGAGACGCGAAGACUCUGUACUGAACUGUCCGUUGUAGCACCUGGCUGAUUUGCCAACUGGAAGCUAAUAUGUGGUAAGUCAAGCUGAUUUGCCACAAACCGAAAGAGUUGGGAUGAAAUAAAGUACCAACGAGGUCAAACGAACAACACAACAACGAAAGGUUUGCAGAAAAAUGAUCUAGAGAGCAGGUCUACAGUUUAGGGGAUAAAAGAAAAGCUAUAGCUAGGAGAAGCUGCAAAGUCUGUGUAUUAAUUUUGAAGGAAUGCAAAGAGAGCCUUAGCUCAGUGAUUACGCAUGCGAUCGUGCAGCCUAACCAUUCUGGUUCAAUUCUUAGAAUUGACAAGUGAUGCACAAGUGAUACUUGUAUUGAAAAGGUUGUUUGCAUCCCUAAUUGGUGCAGAGGCCGGAAAGUGAAAUUCUCUCCCAAUUUUAAGACUUGAACAAGGGAUGACUCGCGCUCGCGUCGCCUCCUCCAGACUGACCGAGGCCGCUAACCCUAGCCCCCCUCCCUCCCCUCUCCCCUCGCUGUCCCUAGAGGAGGCUGCCGAGAAAGCCCGUGCAAAGUCAGUGAAAGGAACAACAGGGAUCUCGGGUCCCGCAUCCGUGGCGUGGCACAACGGCAUGAGAUCUUCCUACAGCGGAUGCUCCUCCCGGCGGUGAGGCGUCGCUCCGGUGAUAAUGUGGGGAUGUCGGACUCGACGGAGAUCUACAACGCAAGGGCCUCAGAACAGCGGCUUCGGACACGGCAGCAAUGGUUGCCCCUCCGUCCGAGAUGGCGGCCCAGGAGAUGGCUUCAUGUGGCGGUGGAUCAAGGGAUCCAGUACCCGGGUUCGACGGAGGCAUGUGGCGGCUGGAGCUUUCUCCGGCGUCGAUUGUGCUUUGAUGUGGGAGAUCUGCAGCCCUUUGGGGUUUGCGGAUCGGAAGCCAGCUGUGGGUUCAGGGAGGUGCGGCCAUCGGUGAAAACCACGCCGACUUCAGUCAUGGCAUAAUACUCGAAGAGCAUGUCCUCAUUAGACCUUAUACUACUAUCUAUGUUUUCCUUGCAGUUAACAAGUUUUUAUGGACACUUGUGCUAUUCUUAGCAGGCGUGCUUAAAUAUUUUCACAAGAUGUAUCAGUUUGUCAGUCUAACUCUUGCAUAUGGUUAUUUCGCAGAAAAAAACUCUUGCAUAUGGUUUGUGUGCAGUUCUGAUUUCUUCUAUUUUAAUGUCCACAAAUGCUUAUAAUAUAGUUUGUCUGGUCCAAACUAGAUGUUGCAAUGGUUUGUGUGCAGUUCUUAAAAAAAAAAUUACACCCCGACUUAUAUGAGUCUGCUAGAAACUCAAGGCCUGUCCUUUUGUUGGAGAAUGCAAAGUCCUUGAUAAAAUCGCCUGAUAUCUUCCAUUUUAGUUGCAACAAAUUCUUAAUAAUUUUCGCUGACCACGUAAAAAGUCACAUGGCUGUACUCAUCACGAACACUGCUUUCAGCAAAUUUCCACUUUCAAACUUUUGAUUUCAUAUUAUCAUCAAAAGUGAUGGUUAAAGUUUUGUUUCUUUAUGCUGUGCGGAUUAUAAAAAAUUUGACUUAUGUUUUUAAGGUUAGUGUCAACGUAUUUUCCAAUGACUCCCCCACAAGCCAUAUUCCCGUCAUGACAAAUAAUAUUUUGAAUUAUCUGAUAAGGCAUGUUGUUCAGUAUUUGCCCUAAGGCGGGUCAUGUAGCUUUUACUUAGAUCAGAGCAAGAAACUCUUUUUUAAAGGAACACAAUUGCUGCAUUCCAUUAAACUGAAAAGCUGGACAAAUCCUCAACGCACAGGAUUCACUACAAACUGAGGUAGAUGACCAACUCACACAACCUGGUUCCCCUGAUAGAGCGCCUCACACAGCAGGUUCAUGGGCUACAGUUUAAACAAGACCUCACACAUACAGAAAUUUUUACAUCGCCAUAUGCAACACACAACAUAUAUGAGCUACUAACCUCGAUGUUUCACUUUUACUCGACAUGUUGGUAAGCUAGCUGAUCUUGUAGCUUUUACUUGGAUAAGAGCAAGGAAGUUUGUUUUUUUCCGAAAAAGGGGAGCUUCCCGCCUCUGCAUCAGAACAGUGCAUACGACCAUAUUUAUUAAUAAGCAAAUAGGUUCAACACAAGUCUUGAUGUGUCAAACAAAAGAACAAAAAAAAUGCUUAUAAAGAGCAGAAAAAUAAAAGUAAAGCCACAACCGACUGGCAUAAGAAAGAUAUGAAAACUAAUUGCCUAUCCUAUUACAUAACCGCCAUCCAAACUGGUUGAAAAUAGCUCGAGGUAUCAUCUCCCAUCGGAUAGAUUCAGUAACCAUACGCUCCCUGGCCUCCAUCAGAGUAAGUAGCGACCACAUACGGAUCAAAGCAGUGGCUCAGAAAAUAACCUGCAAAAAAUAAAUAUUUGUUGUUCUGUAGAAGACCAAAUUAUUUCUGCAGUUCCAGACUACCCAUAAUAAAGCACAUACUCCUACACGAAUGUGACCCGCUGUUUUAGAAUCUAUCCUGUCAAGCCACAUCCCAAAUAAAGUGUUGAUAGUAUUCGGAGUAAUAUUAAAGGCUAUGUGAACCGUUCGCCAUAAUUUUUUUGCCAACGGGCAGUCAAGAAACAGGUGUUUGAUGGAUUCAUUCCGAUCACAAAAACUACAUCUUGUAGAUCCUAUCCAGUUACGUUUUGCCAAGUUGUCCUAAUUAAAAUGACUUGUUUGUGUACAAACCACAUAAACACGUUAACUUUCAAAGGUACUUUGACUUUCCAAACAUGUUUCGAACUAGGAAUAGAGCUAGAAUUGAUAACAUCGAGAUACAUGGAUUUAACAAUGUUGGCGUCCUAGGAACGGGGGUCCCCAGACUUGCCUGCCUGCGGCCCACGACGUGGCUCCGUCAGCGGCCCCGUACGGCCCAUCUUCACCAGCAAACACUCAAGGCCUUCGCGAGGGGCCGAGCCUUGCGAGGCGGAUGACGUGAGACCUCCUCGGGGGCGGCCUCACCAGGCCGACCCGCGAGGGGCGGAGAGAUCAAGGCAAGCGACACCUCGCGAGGUUCCUGUGACGCAAGCCGUGACGACCAAGGCCAGGCAGGCGCCAGCGCAUAGUGUCCUCGUUUCCUCUUUGGUGCUAAAGAGGCAAGCGCAGGCGAGGAGUCCCGAGGCCUCAGGCAAAGGUUUCCAUAUCGGUGCAACGAGACCAAGACCAGCAGGACGACAUGAUGGAGGUCACCGUGGAGCCCAGAACAACGUCACCACCAGAGCCUUUGGCAGCCGAAGACCAUCUUUUGUCAGGAUAGCUUGUACUAGCUGUCCCCCUUCAAAUUGGCCGUUGUGGGAUACCUUCCCGCCUAAUAUUUGGGAAGAGGACCUGGGCCUCUAUAUAUAGGACUAGCCACCACCGUAGGCGGGGGAUCAUCUCAUCUUGGACCGGAUCCAUUCCACCAAGACCACCACACAAACCCACCAAGCACAAGAGCACCUCUCCUUAGGAGGCUGUUCUUCCCUUAUAACUGUUCAUCCUUCGCUCAAGAGGCAAUCCAUCACACCACACUAGAGUAGGGUAUUACACCAUAUUGGUGGCCCGAACUAGUAUAAAUCUUGUGUCUCUUUGUUUUGCGAGUUCGACGUGCUGAGCCUUGAGAUCGCGGUGAGGGCGUGAGCUAGAGGGGGGAGAGAUCUUCGCGCGCACCUCAGUGUUCGAACCUCAAGGGUUUUGCCGGGACCUGAAAUCUGACAUUUGGCGUGCCAGGUUGGGGUGCGCCAAAGCUUUCCUUCCGCUGAUCCGUGUUCCACCGCUCCAACGCAUCCAUGUCAGACGCACGCCGAGCCCGCGCCGAGCGCCGUGCCGCCCUUGUCGCCCAUGUCGCUCAGACAGCCCCUGUCGGCGGGCUUCCCCGUCGUUCUCCAUCUCCUGUUGCCAACGCUGCUAUCGGCCCGGCGGCAAACGAGCAGCAAGCGUCCUCACUGCACCCCUCCGUGCGGCGGGACGGUCGCACCGCCUCCUCAUCGCUGACUCCGGCCGUCUCAUCGUUUCACGCUCGCCGCGCACCCACGGACAUGCAGGCUACGCUGCUCAUGGCGCGCAAGCUCCUGCGCUACCGCCCGGUCGACGACCUCUACGAGGACUGGUUAGACCGCAUUGCCGAGCUCAUCAGCGCCGCUGGGGGCUCUCCUGCACCAUCCCUCUCGCUGCCUCGCCCACCUCCAGCCGCGGGCAACGUAGCUCACGGAGCGCCUCCGCCGCCUCCGCAUCAAGACGGCGCCCUUGCCCCGAGACGCGCAGCUCACGAAGCGCCAUCGCCCCCUUCGUGUCAAGAUGAUGUCCUCGCCCCAAGAGGCACGGUCCCGCGGGAUGACCCGCCAUGCCGUGUGCCCGCACAUGAAGAAGGAAGCUGCCAAGAGGUUCCUCGGCCGCAAGAAAACGCUCCAGUGCUCCCGGCGCCGUGACAAAACCACGUGCCACCCGUGGCGGUGGUGCGCGGACAUCAAGGGCAGGCUCCGCCCCUGUAGAGGGCCCUGGUGGCCACCGCAGGUUGCCGCGCCUUCGCUCCCGAGCUCCGCACCGUUGUUUGGCUAGGCAAGUUCAAGCCGGAUCUGCCUCCGCGCUAUGACGACACCCCGACCCUGCGGAGUUCCUGCAGCUCUACGAGCUGAGCAUCGAGGCGGCCAACGGCGACGAAAAGGUCAUGGUGAACUGGUUUCCCAUGGCUCUCAAGGAUGGCGCCCGCUCAUGGCUCCUGAACCUGCCUGCGAGAUCGAUCUCCUCCUGGGGUGAGAUGCGCGACCGCUUCAUCGCCAACUUCCAGGGCACUCGCGACCGUCCUCCGGCCGCGGGUGACCCGCGCCGCAUCAAACAACAGCCGAGAGAGACUCUGUAGAAGUACAUCCAGCGCUUCAACAGCGUCCACCUCAAGAUCCCCAAGGUGACGGACGAAGCCAUCAUCUCAGCGUUCUCCGAUGGCGUCCGCGACAUCAAGAUGAAGGAGGAGCUCGCCAUCCACGAGGAGCUGUGCAUGACUCUAGAGUUGUUCAACAUAGCGACCAAGUGCGCAAGAGCUGAGGAAGGGCGUCUCUCCCUCCUCGAGCUCCCUGCUGCCGAACCAGAAGAGAAGAAGGCCAAGGUCAAGGACGUGAAGUGCAAGGGAGUGGCCGUACUCGCGGCAGAGCCGGACAUGAAGCGCGGCCGGGACCACCCCGAGUCGUCCAAGGGCAGCCGUCCGUUCUGCGCCUUCCACAACGUACACAGCCACAACACCAACGAUUGUCAAGAGCUCAGGGCCAUCCGAGAUGGAUGCUUCGGUCGACGCCCCGAGCGCAAUGACCGGGGCUACGACCGGGGAGGAGGACGAGUUGGAGGACGCUGGGACAACCGCGGCCCACGCCAGGAGUGACGCGACCGGCCUCGUGAGGACCACUGGCAGGAGCAGCCUCAUGAGGGCACCUGGCGCGACCAGCCUCGUGAGGACCAUUGAUACGUCCAUUUUGCAUCAUGCUUUUAUAUUGAUAUUUAUCACAUUAUGGACUGUUAUUUCACUUUAUGUCACAAUACUUAUGGCUAUUCUCUCUUAUUUUACAAGGUUUACAUAAGGAGGGAGAAUGCCGGUGAUAUGUCUCCAACGUAUCUAUAAUUUUUGAUUGCUCCAUGCUAUAUUAUCUACUGUUUUGGACUAUAUUGGGCUUUAUUUUCCACUUUUAUAUUAUUUUUGGGACUAACCUAUUAACCAGAGGCCCAGCCCAGAAUUGCUAUUUUUUUGCCUAUUUUAGUGUUUCGGAUAAACAGAAUAUCAAACGGAGUCCAAACGGAAUAAAAUCUUCGGAAACGUGAUUUUCUCACCGAACGUGAUCCAGGAGACUUGGACCCUAGUGCAAGGGAUCAAAGAGGUGGUCACGAGGGUGGGGGGAGCCCCCCUAGGGCGCGCCCCCUGCCUCGUGGGCCCCUCGGUGCUCCAUCGACGUACUCCUUCCUCCUAUAUAUACACACGUACCCCCAAACGAUCAGAACAGGAGCCAAAAACCUAAUUCCACCGCCGCAACUUUCUUUAUCCACGAGAUCCCAUCUUGGGGCCUGUUCCGGAGCUCCGCCGAAAGAGGGCCGUCAUCACGGAGGGCUUCUACAUCAUCCUAGCCCCUCCGAUGAAGUGUGAGUAGUUUACCUCAAACCUUCGGGUCCAUAGUUAGUAGCUAGAUGGCUUCUUCUCUCUCUUUGAAUCUCAAUACAAAGUUCUCCCCCUCUCUUGUGGAGAUCUAUUCGAUGUAAUCUUCUUUUUGCGGUGUGUUUGUUGAGACCGAUGAAUUGUGGGUUUAUGAUCAAGUCUAUCUAUGAAUAAUAUUUGAAUCUUCUCUGAAUUCUUUUAUGCAUGAUUGGUUAUCUUUGUAAGUCUCUUCGAAUUAUCCAUUUGGUUUGGCCAACUAGAUUGGUAGUUCUUUCCAUGGGAGAAGUGCUUAGCUUUGGGUUCGAUCUUGCGGUGUCCUUACCCAGUGACAGAAGGGGCAGCAAGGCACGUAUUGUAUCGUUGCCAUAGAGGAUAACAAGAUGGGGUUUAUUUCAUAUUGCAUGAAUUUAUCUCUCUACAUCAUGCCAUCUUGCUUAAGGCGUUACUCUGUUUUUAACUUAAUACUCUAGAUGCAUGCUGGAUAGCGGUCGAUGAGUGGAGUAAUAGUAGUAGAUGCAGAAUCGUUUUGAUCUACUUGUCACGGACGUGAUGCCUAUAUAAAUGAUCAUGCCUAGAUAUUCUCAUAAUUAUGCUCAAUUCUAUCAAUUGCUCAACAGUAAUUUGUUCACCCACCGUAGAAUACUUAUGCUCUUGAGAGAAGCCACUAGUGAAACCUAUGGCCCCGGGGUUUAUUCUCAUCAUAUCAAUCUCCAUCACCUUUAUAUUAUUUUGCUAUUUACUUGCCUUUACUUUUUACUUUGCAUCUUUAUAUCAAAAAUACCAAAAAUAUUCUAUCUAUCAGAUCUCACUCUCGUAAGUGACUGUGAAGGGCUUGACAACCCCUAAUCGCGUUGGUUGCGAGUAGCUAUCGCUUUGUGCAGGUACGAGGGACUUGCGCGUGGGCUCCUACUAGAUUGAUACCUUGGUUCUCAAAAACUGAGGGAAAUACUUACGCUACUCUACUGCAUCAUCCCUUCCUCUUCGGGAAAAACCAACGCAAGCUCAAGACGUAGCAAGCAGGAUUUCUGGCGCCGUUGGGAGUCUACGCAAAAAGUCAAUAUACCAAGUACCCAUCACAAUCCCUAUCUCUCGCAUUACAUUAUUUGCCAUUUGCCUCUCGUUUUCCUCUCCCCCAAUUCACCCUUGCCGUUUUAUUCGCCCUCUCUCUCUAUCCUCCCUCUGUAUUUGGCUCUUUUUGUCCGCUUGCUUUUUGUUGGCCCGUGUGUUAGAUUGCUUGUUUGUCGCGAUGGCUCAAGAUGCUACCAAAUUGUGUGACUUCACCAAUACCAAUAAUAAUGAUUUCCUUAGCACUCUGAUUGCUCCUCUUACCGAUGCUGAAUCUUGUGAAAUUAAUACGGCUUUGUUGAAUCUUGUUAUGAAAGAUCAAUUCGCCGGCCUUCCUAGUGAAGAUGCCGCUACUCAUCUGAAUAGCUUCGUUGAUUUAUGUGAUAUGCAAAAGAAAAAAGAUGUCAAUAAUGAUGUCAUUAAAUUGAAGCUAUUUCCUUUUUUGCUUAGAGAUCGUGCUAAAGCUUGGUUUUCGUCUUUGCCUAAGAAUAGUAUUGAUUCAUGGAACAAAUGCAAAGAUGCUUUUAUCUCUAAGUAUUUUCCUCCUGCUAAGAUCAUCUCUCUUAGAAACAAUAUAAUGAACUUUAAACAACUUGAUCAUGAACAUGUUGCACAAGCUUGGGAGAGAAUGAAAUUAAUGAUACGUAAUUGCCCUACUCAUGGUUUGAAUUUGUGGAUGAUUAUACAAAAUUUUUGUGCCGGAUUGAAUUUUGCUUCUAGAAAUCUUUUAGAUUCGGCCGCGGGAGGCACUUUUAUGGAAAUCACUUUAGGAGAUGCUACUAAACUCCUAGAUAAUAUUAUGGUUAAUUAUUCUCAAUGGCAUACUGAAAGAACUUCUAAUAAAAAGGUGCAUGCGAUAGAAGAAAUUAAUGUGUUGAGUGAAAAGAUGGAUGAACUUAUGAAAUUAUUUGCUACUAAGAGUGUUUCUUCUGAUCCUAAUGAUAUGCCUUUGUCUACUUUGAUUGAGAAUAAUAAUGAAUCUAUGGAUGUGAAUUUUGUUGGUAGGAAUAAUUUUGGUAACAACGCUUAUAGAGGGAAUUUUAAUCCUAGGCCAUAUCCUAGUAAUCCUUCUAAUAAUUAUGGGAAUUCCUACAACAACUCUUAUGGAAAUUAUAAUAAGAUUCCCUCUGAUUUUGAAUCUAAUAUUAAAGAAUUUAUUUCUUCGCAAAAGAAUUUUAAUGCUAUGAUUGAAGAAAAAUUGCUUAAGAUUGAUGAUUUGGCUAGGAACGUUGUUAGAAUUGCUCUUGAUGUUGAUGCUUUGAAACUUAGAUCUAUUCUACCUAAGCAUGAUAUUAAUUAGUCUCUAAAAGCCAUGAGAAUUUCAAUUGAUGAGUGUAAGGAAAGAACCGCUAGGAUGCGUGCUUCCAAAGAUGCCUUUAUUAAAGCAUGUUCUUCCAAUUCCUAUGAAAAUCAAGAUGAAGAUCUAAAAGUUAUUGAUGUGUCUCCAAUUAAAUCUUUAUUUUGCAAUAUGAAUCUUGAUGAAACUUAAUAUGAUCUUCCUUUACCUAGAAGGCGUUCUAAAAAUUCGGAGUGUUUAGAUCUUAAUGAUGAAAUUGAUGAAAGUGGGAUUGAAAGAAAUAAAAAUCUAGAUGUUGCUAAACCCACUAUAUUGGAUUUCAAGGAAUUUAAUUAUGAAAAUUGCUCUUUGAUUGAUUGUAUUUCCUUGUUGCAAUCCGUGCUAAAUUCUCCACAUGCUUAUAGUCGAAAUAAAGCCUUCACCGAACAUAUUGUUGAUGCCUUGAUGCAAUCUUAUGAAGAAAAACUUGAGUUGAAAGUUUCUAUCCCUAGAAAACUCUAUGAUGAGUGGGAACCAACUAUUAAAAUUAAAAUUAAAGAUCAUGAGUUUUAUGCUUUGUGUGAUUUGGGUGCUAGUGUCUCUACUAUUCCCAAGACUUUGUGUGAUUUACUAGAUUUCCGUAAUUUUGAUGAUUGCUCUCUAAACUUGCAUCUUGCGGAUUCCACUAUUAAGAAACCUAAGGGAAGAAUUAAUGAUGUUCUUAUUGUUGCAAAUAGGAAUUAUGUGUCCGUAGAUUUCAUUGUUCUUGAUAUAUAUUGCAAUCCUUCUUGCCCUAUUAUUCUUGGUAGACCUUUCCUUAGAACGGUUGGUGCGAUUUAUUGAUAUGAAGGAAGGGAAUAUUAGAUUUAAAUUUCCAUUAAAAAGGGCAUGGAACACUUUCCAAGAAAGAAAAUAAAAUUACCAUAUGAAACUAUCAUGAGAGCCACUUAUGGAUUGCCUACCAAAGAUGGCAAUACCUAGAUCUAUCCUUGCUUGUUAUGCCUAGCUAGGGGCGUUAAACUAUAGCGCUUGUUGGGAGGCAACCCAAGUUUAUUUUUAUUCCUUGAUUUUUGCUCCUGUUUAGUAAUAAAUAAAUUAUUUAUCCUCUGUUUUGGUUGUGUUUUUUGUGUUUAAUUAGUGUUUGUGCCAAGUAGAACCGUUGGGAAGACUUGGGGAAAGUCUUGUUGAACUUGCUGUAAAAAACAGAAACUUUAGCACUCACGAGAACUUCUGUCAUUCUUAUUUGAAGGGUGAUAUUUAGUUAAUUCUUUUUGCAUAUGAUUAAUAGAUAAAUUCCUCACGUCCAGAAAUUUAUUUUAGAAUUUUUGGGGUUCCAUAUGUUGCGCUAGCUACAGAUUACUACAGAAUGUUCUGUUUUUGACAGAUUCUGUUUUUCGUGUGUUGUUUGCUUAUUUUGAUGAAUCUAUGGUUAGUAAAAUAGUUUAUAAUCCAUAGAGAAGUUGGAAUACAGUAGGUUCAACACCAAUAUAAAUAAAGAAUGAGUUUAUUACAGUACCUUGAAGUGGUCUUUUGUUUUCUUUCGCUAACGGAGCUCACGAGUUUUCUACUUUAAGUUUUGUGUUGUGAAGUUUUCAAGUUUUGGGUGAAUUCUUGUGAUGGAUUAUGGAACAAGGAGUGGCAAGAGCCUAAGCUUUGGGAUGCCCAUGGCACCCCCAAGAUAAUCCGAGGACACCAAAAAGUCAAAGCUUGGGGAUGCCCCGGAAGGCAUCCCCUCUUUCGUCCACUUCCAUCGGUAAUUUACUCUAUGUGCUUCACUUAUAUCUUUUGAGCUAGAUAAUUUUGCUCUAUGUGCUUCACUUAUAUAUUUUGAGCGUUAUAAUUUUGCUCUAUGUGCUUCACUUAGAUCUUUUAGAGCAUGGUGGUGGAUUCGUUUUAAAGAAACCAUUGAUCUCUCAUGCUUCACUUAAAUUAAUUUGAGAGUCUCUUAAUAGCAUGGUAAUUUGCCUAAUAAUAAUAUGCUUGGUAUUCAAGAUUUGUGAAACUUUCUUUUGAGUGUGUUGAAUACUAAGAAAAGAUUGAAGCAUGAUAAUUGUUUGAUAUAUGGAGGUGAUAAUAUUAAAGUCAUGCUAGUUGAGUAGUUGUGAAUUUAAAGAAUACUUGUGUUGAAGUUUGUGAUUCCCGUAACAUGCACGUAUGGUGAACCGUUAUGUGAUGAAGUCGGAGCAUGAUUUAUUUAUUGAUUGUCUUUUCCUACCAAUCUAUCCCCCUAGGAGCAUGCGCGUAAUACUUUGCUUUGAUAACUUCUAAAUUUUUGCAAUAAGUAUAUGAGUUCUUUAUGACUAAUGUUGAGUCCAUGGAUUAUACGCACUCUCACCCUUCCACCCUUGCUAGCCUCUCUAAUACCGCGCAACUUUCGCCGGUAUCAUACACCUACCAUAUACCUUCCUCAAAACAGCCACCAUACCUACCUAUUAUGGCAUUUCCAUAGCCAUUCCGAGAUAUAUUGCCAUGCAACUUUCCACCAUCUUGUUCAUCAUGACAUAUCCAUCAUUAUCAUAUUGCUUAGCAUGAUCAUGUAGUUGACAUAGUAUUUGUGGCAAAGCCACCGUUCAUAAUUCUUUCAUACUUGUCACUCGUGAUUCAUUGCAUAUCCCGGUGCACCGCCGGAGGCAUUCAUAUAGAGUCAUACUUUGUUUUAGUAUCGAGUUGUAAUCAUUGAGUUGUAAAUAAAUAGAAGUGUGAUGAUCAUCAUUCAAUAGAGCAUUGUCCCAAAAAAGGCCAAAGAAAAAAAGAAGGCAAAAAAAUAAUAAAAAAAUAAUAAAAAGGGGCAAUGCUACUAUCCUUUUUUCCACACUUGUGCUUCAAAAUAGCACCAUGAUAUAGCAAGUCUCAUAUAUUGUGCUUCAAAGUAGCACCAUGUUCUUCAUAUAGAGAGUCUCAUAUGUUGUCACUUUCAUAUACUAGUGGGAAUUUUACGUUAUAGAACUUGGCUUGUAUAUUCCAAUGAUGGGCUUCCUCAAAUUGCCCUAGGUCUUCGUGAGCAAGCAAGUUGGAUGCACACCCACUAGUUCCUUUUGUUGAGCUUUCAUACAUUUAUAGCUCUAGUGCAUCCGUUGCAUGGCAAUCCCUACUCACUCACAUAGAUAUCUAUUGAUGGGCAUCUCCAUAGCCCAUUGAUACGCCUAGUUGAUGUGAGACUAUCUUCUCCUUUUUGUCUUCUCCACAACCACCAUUCUAUUCCACCUAUAGUGCUAUAUCCAUGGCUCACGCUCAUGUAUUGCGUGAAGAUUGAAAAAGUUUUGAAAAAGUUAGAGUAUGAAACAAUUGCUUGGCUUGUCAUCGGGGUUGUGCAUGAUUUAAAUACUUUGUGUGGGGAAGAUGGAGCAUAGCCAGACUAUAUGAUUUUGUAGGGAUUACUUUCUUUGGCCAUGUUAUUUUGAGAAGACAUAAUUGCUUUGUUAGUAUGCUUGAAGUAUUAUUAUUUUCUAUGUCAAUAUAAACUUUUGUCUUGAAUCUUUCUAAUCUGAAUAUUCAUACCACAAUUAAGAAGAUUUACAUUGAAAUUAUGCCAAGUAGCACUCCGCAUCAAAAAUUCUCUUUUUAUCAUUUACCUACUCGAGGACGAGCAGGAAUUAAUCUUGGGGAUGCCUGAUACAUCUCCAACGUAUCUAUAAUUUUUGAUUGCUCCAUGCUAUAUUAUCUACUGUUUUGGACUAUAUUGGGCUUUAUUUUCCACUUUUGUAUUAUUUUUGGGACUAACCUAUUAACCGGAGGCCCAGCCCAGAAUUACUGUUUUUUGCCUAUUUCAGUGUUUCGGAUAGACAGAAUAUCAAACGGAGUCCAAACGGAAUAAAAUCUUCAGAAAUGUGAUUUUCUCACCGAACGUGAUCCAGGAGACUUGGACCCUACUGCAAGGGAUCAAAGAGGUGGUCACGAGGGUGGGGGGCGCCCCCCUAGGGCGCGCCCCUGCCUCGUGGGUCCCUCGGUGCUCCAUCGGCGUACUCCUUCCUCCUAUAUAUACACACGUACCCCCAAACAAUCAGAACAGGAGCCAAAAACCUAAUUCCACCGCCGCAACUUUCUGUAUCCACGAGAUCCCAUCUUGGAUGCACUAUUCUCCCUGAGUAUGCACCGUUGCGAAAGUUCUUCGUGCUGAGACACCACGUGAUGAUCGGGUGUGAUAGGCUCUACAUUCAAAUACAACGGGUGCAAAACAGUUGCACACGCGGAAUACUCAGGUUAUACUUGACGAGCCAAGCAUAUACAGAUAUGGCCUCGGAACACGGAGACCGAAAGGUCGAGCGUAAAUCAUAUAGUAGAUAUGAUCAACAUAGUGAUGUUCACCAAUGAAACUGCUUCAUCUCACGUGAUGAUCGGACAUGGUUUAGUUGAUUUGGAUCACGUGAUCACUUAGAGGAUUAGAGGGAUGUCUAUCUAAGUGGGAGUUCUUAAGUAAUAUGAUUAAUUGAACUUAAAUUUAUCAUGACCUUAGUCCUGGUAGUACUUUGCAAAUUAUGUUAUAGAUCAAUAGCUCGCGUUGUUGCUUCCCUGUGUUUAUUUUAAUAUGUUCCUACAGAAAAUUGUGUUGAAAGAUGUUAGUAGCAAAGAUGCGGAUUGGAUCCGUGAUUUGAGGUUUAUCCUCAUUGAUGCACUGUGACGCCCCCGAUUCAAUCGUACACUAAUCAUGCACGCAAACGUGUACGAUCAAGAUCAGGGACUCACGGGAAGAUAUCACAACACAACUCUAAAAUAUAAAUAAGUCAUACAAGCAUCAUAAUACAAGCCAGGGGCCUCGAGGGCUCGAAUACAAGUGCUCGAUCAUAGACGAGUCAGCGGAAGCAACAAUAUCUGAGUACAGACAUAAGUUAAACAAGUUUGCCUUAAGAAGGCUAGCACAAACUGGGACACAGAUCGAAAGAGGCGCAGGCCUCCUGCCUGGGAUCCUCCUAACUACUCCUGGUCGUCGUCAGCGGGCUGCACGUAGUAGUAUGCACCUCCGGUGUAGUAGGGGUCAUCGUCGACGGUGACGUCUGGCUCCUGGACUCCAGCAUCUGGUUGCGACAACCAGAAAGAAAGGAAAGGGGAAAAAGUGGGGAGAAAGCAACCGUGAGUACUCAUCCAAAGUACUCGCAAGCAAGGAACUACACUACAUAUGCAUGGGUAUAUGUGUAAGGAGGCCAUAUCGGUGGACUGAACUGCAGAAUGCCAGAAUAAGAGGGGGAUAGCUAGUCCUAUCGAAGACUACGCUUCUGGCAGCCUCCGUCUUGCAGCAUGAAGAAGAGAGUAGAUUGAAGUCCUCCAAGUAGCAUCUCCAAGUAGCAUCUCCAAAUAGCAUCUCCAAAUAGCAUCUCCAAGUAGCAUCUCCAGUAGCAUCGCAUAGCAUAACCCUACCCGGCGAUCCUCCCCUCGUCGCCCUGUGGAAAAGCGAUCACCGGGUUGUCUGUGGAACUUGGAAGGGUGUGUUUUAUUAAGUAUCCGGUUCUAGUUGUCAUAAGGUUAAGGUACAACUCCAAGUCGUCCUGUUACCGAAGAUCACGGCUAUUCGAAUAGAUUAACUUCCCUGCAGGGGUGCACCAACUUACCCAACACGCUUGAUCCCAUUUGGCCGGACACACUUUCCUGGGUCAUGCCCGGCCGCGGAAGAUCAACACGUCGCAGCCCCACCUAGGCAAAACAGAGAGGCCAGCACGCCGGUCUAAACCUAAGCGCGCAGGGGUCUGGGCCCAUCGCCCUGAGCACACCUGCACGUUGCGUGGGCGGCCGAAAGCAGACCUAGCCUAGUGGCGUUCCAGUCCAAUUCGGCGCGCGCCGCUCCGUCGCUGACGUCUGAAGUGCUUCGGCUGAUACCACGACGCCGGGAUACCCAUAACUACUCCCGUGUAGAUGGUUAGUGCGUAUAGGCUCGUAGCCAACUCAGAUCAAAUACCAAGAUCUCGUUAAGCGUGUUAAGUAUCCGCGAACGCCGAACAGGGCCAGGCCCACCUGUCUCCUAGGUGGUCUCAACCUGCCCUGCCGCUCCGCCACAAAGUAACAGUCGGGGGCCGUCGGGAAUCCAGGCCCACCUCUACCGGGAUGGAGCCACCUGCCCCUUCAGCCCCCAACUCCGAACAGUAUCACAGGUAAUGUAACAGUGUAAAGUAUAUAGUAUAUGCCCGUGAUCACCUCCCGAAGUGAUCACAGCCCAGUAGUAUAGCAUGGAAGACAGACAAGAGUGUAGGGCCACUGAUGGAACACUAGCAUCCUAUACUAAGCAUUUAGGAUUGCGGGUAAGGUAUCAAUGACUGUAGCAGCAAUGACAGGCUAUGCAUCAGAAUAGGAUUAACGAAAAGCAGUAACAUGCUACACUACUCUAAUGCAAGCAAUAUAGAGAAGAGUAGGCGAUAUCUGGUGAUCAAGGGGGGGGCUUGCCUGGUUGCUCUGGCAAGAGAGAGAGGGGUCGUCGGUGAUGUAGUCGACCACAGGGGCAUCAGCAUCGUCACGGGGUCUACCGGAGAGAAAAGGGGGGAGAGGAGAAACAGUAAAUACAUAGCAAUCAAGUGCAUAACAGGAUAACAGGCAGAGCUAGACGUGUUCUACGCGGUAGGAGGUGAUACCGGUGAAGGGGGGAAGCAUCCGGGAAGUAUUCCCGGGGUUUCGUGUUUUCGGGCAGAGGAGCCGGAGGGGGGGAAAGUUGCGAGUUCGAUAGGUUAGGGGGGUGUGGCGGACGAACGGGUUGCGUAUCCGGAAUCGUCUCGUUGUUCUGAGCAACUUUCAUGUUGAAAAUAUUUUAAUCCGAGUUACGGAUUAAAAGAUAUGAUUUUCUAAUGAUUUUAUUAAUUUCUGGAAUUUAUUUAAUUAUUUAAUUAAUUCGGAAAAUGGAUUUAUGACGUCAGCAUGACGUCAUGCUGACAUCAGCAGUCAACAGGGGUUGACUGGGUCAAACUGACGCGUGGGUCCAAUGGGACCCACCUGUCAUACUCUGUUAGGUUAAUUAGGAUUUAGUUAAACUAAUUACUGUUUAAUUAAGCUAACAGGUUAAUUAGAUUAAUUAAUUAAGGUUAAUUAACUUAAUUAAUUUAGUUAAUUAAUUAAUUAAUUAAAUUUAUUUUUAUUUUAAUUAUUGUUUUAUUUAUUUUUAUAUACUUUUUUUUAACGUUCUGGGGUGGGACCCCCAUGUCAUUGGCCCCAGGGGGCCGAUGCGGGCAUGGGCGCGUGGGUGCCUGAUACGACACCCGCCCAGGCCAACCGCGGUGGCGGGACUGGCGGGGCACGGUGGGGUGCCAGCGACGCAGGGAGGCAGGGGGCGUGCGCUCGUGGAGCCGGGCAAGGACGGCGACGAGCGGGCACGAUGGAGGCGGGGCCGCUGNNNNNNNNNNNNNNNNNNNNNNNNNNNNNNNNNNNNNNNNNNNNNNNNNNNNNNNNNNNNNNNNNNNNNNNNNNNNNNNNNNNNNNNNNNNNNNNNNNNNNNNNNNNNNNNNNNNNNNNNNNNNNNNNNNNNNNNNNNNNNNNNNNNNNNNNNNNNNNNNNNNNNNNNNNNNNNNNNNNNNNNNNNNNNNNNNNNNNNNNNNNNNNNNNNNNNNNNNNNNNNNNNNNNNNNNNNNNNNNNNNNNNNNNNNNNNNNNNNNNNNNNNNNNNNNNNNNNNNNNNNNNNNNNNNNNNNNNNNNNNNNNNNNNNNNNNNNNNNNNNNNNNNNNNNNNNNNNNNNNNNNNNNNNNNNNNNNNNNNNNNNNNNNNNNNNNNNNNNNNNNNNNNNNNNNNNNNNNNNNNNNNNNNNNNNNNNNNNNNNNNNNNNNNNNNNNNNNNNNNNNNNNNNNNNNNNNNNNNNNNNNNNNNNNNNNNNNNNNNNNNNNNNNNNNNNNNNNNNNNNNNNNNNNNNNNNNNNNNNNNNNNNNNNNNNNNNNNNNNNNNNNNNNNNNNNNNNNNNNNNNNNNNNNNNNNNNNNNNNNNNNNNNNNNNNNNNNNNNNNNNNNNNNNNNNNNNNNNNNNNNNNNNNNNNNNNNNNNNNNNNNNNNNNNNNNNNNNNNNNNNNNNNNNNNNNNNNNNNNNNNNNNNNNNNNNNNNNNNNNNNNNNNNNNNNNNNNNNNNNNNNNNNNNNNNNNNNNNNNNNNNNNNNNNNNNNNNNNNNNNNNNNNNNNNNNNNNNNNNNNNNNNNNNNNNNNNNNNNNNNNNNNNNNNNNNNNNNNNNNNNNNNNNNNNNNNNNNNNNNNNNNNNNNNNNNNNNNNNNNNNNNNNNNNNNNNNNNNNNNNNNNNNNNNNNNNNNNNNNNNNNNNNNNNNNNNNNNNNNNNNNNNNNNNNNNNNNNNNNNNNNNNNNNNNNNNNNNNNNNNNNNNNNNNNNNNNNNNNNNNNNNNNNNNNNNNNNNNNNNNNNNNNNNNNNNNNNNNNNNNNNNNNNNNNNNNNNNNNNNNNNNNNNNNNNNNNNNNNNNNNNNNNNNNNNNNNNNNNNNNNNNNNNNNNNNNNNNNNNNNNNNNNNNNNNNNNNNNNNNNNNNNGGCCGGUUGGCCCAGUGGGGGUCCCUUUUCUUUUCUUUUGUUUUUACUUUUAUUUAUUUUACCUUUUCUGUUUUAGUUUUGUUUCCUAUUAUUUUAGUUUUAUUAAAAUACACACGUAGCAUCUAAUUUAGUAUUUCAACUUAGUCCAUAGUCACAAAAAGUCUAAUCCUCAAAUAAAUUAGUUUGACAUUUUAUUAAUUACAAAAGGUAUUUAAAUAAUUGUUUUCACUAUUGUUUUAAUUGUUUUAGGGCCUUUAAACAUUUUAUCAAAGUUUGGUUUCUCCACCAUAAUUACCUAUGUAUUAUUUGGUUCACGCCGAACAUUUAAAUCUUAAUAUUUGAAAACUUUUAUUGUUUGCUCGAUUUUGAAUUUGAAAUUCGAACUAGGUUCCGAACUAACGCGAGUUUAUCCACAGUAACCGAGAUAACGUGGCAUCAUUAGUGGGGAUUACUGUAGCUUAAUUACCCGGGCGUCACAAUUCUCCUCCACUACAAGAAAUCUCGUCCCGAGAUUUAAGAGGGGAGUAAGGGGAAAGUUCUGGCUACGAUAUUCUAACGGAUCUUCUCGAAGAAGUUAAUUCCUUUUGUUGAUGUCUUCAAUCCUUUAUUCCGAUGCAUCAUGAUAAACUUGUCAUCAUUUCUUCGGGAGCUCCAUCGUACUUACGAAAAGAUAAGGGGCA